Camellia sinensis is the source of this 2073-nucleotide non-coding RNA. NCBI's taxonomy places the organism in Eukaryota, Viridiplantae, Streptophyta, Magnoliopsida, Ericales, Theaceae. The record is from RefSeq and is a predicted model, not a curated record.
AUGGUGUUGAAGAAGAGUCUUGAUUAUGGAUUCAAUGGCUACCGGGUCCCCAUUAUACCUAGAGGUCCCAGAUCUGAAAGCGUUGAGGAUAGCCAAAUCUGUGCAUUUGAACUACUGGCAGCUGUUGCUGGCAAGUUGUUGCAGGAGAGUGAGAGUUCUACUUCUAGUAAUGCUGAAGGAAAAGACCCAUCUGGAAUUCACGGGUGUGGAGUUAAACAUGAACAACUGGAAGCUAGUAAUGCUUUGAGAUCAGGGUGCAAUGAUCAGGGAAGCUGCAUAGAGAGUUCUUUGGCUCUGGACUUGCAGCUCAAAAUCACAAUUCAAAGUCCACUUUGAGAGAACUCCCUCAUGCUGUGUGUGAUACUGUUUUGGAAAGCACUUCGAUUAUUUCAAGUUCCAACUUUCCAAGAAAGUUGGUCAUGAUGUGAAAUUGGAAAUCUCUGAAAACAAGAUAGCAGUUGAAAAAUUCCAUGGCAAAGUAGAGGGGGGCUCCCCUAAUUGUGGGGAAUCAUGUGAUGGUUACGUACAUAAUGGAACUGAAAGACAGCUAGAGGUUGAAGGAAUCAUAAUCAUAAUGCAGAUUUGACCGCAGCUAAUACCUUCAGUUCAAAGGAUCCAAUGGAAAUAUGUGUGAAUACCCAUCCAUUUAUUAAUUCUGACAGUAGUGUACAGUUGACCUCAUAUAGGGAUUCUGUUCCAAUGCUUCUUUUCCGCAGCAUAGGAUCAAUGUAAAGGUAGGUAGUGAAGAUGAUGACGAAAAUUUCUGUUCGGUACAAUCGGCCUAGCUCCAAGAUGAGGGCCUUUAGGCCACAUCAACGUAUUGGGCACCGAAGAAUAAGAAAGUUACUGACUUCCAAAUACUGGAAAGUAGCUCCAAAGUUGAAGGAUUGUGAAUUUUCUAACUCCACAAGUGGUGGGUUCCAUCUUCAGUUUUUAGCGUCGUCAGCAAUCAUGUCACUCGAGGGAUUCCCACGUGGAAGUUUAGCAUCAAGAUCCUUCAAGGUACCAGGCUUUAUGUUGAUGGUCCAGAAACUGCCAACUAUUGGUUCACUGAAGAGGACCGUUAUGGAGGCCGUGACUGCUAUACUUCAAGGCGGAUUACACGUAGGUGUACUUCUUCAAGGGAAAAAGGUUAAAGAUGAUAACAGAACUCUAUUGCAAACUGGUAUUUCUCACAAUGACAACCUGGAUGCUCUUGGUUUUACAUUGGAACCAAGUUCUGUGAUGGCGUCUCCACCUGUGUGCCCCAAAGAUCCUCCAAUUUUGCUGCCAUGUGAGACACACCAACAGUUAACCAGGUUGCCAGCCAGUCCCAUUUUGGAUUCAGGGUUCUCUAAUGAAUCAUGUGAUCCUCUUCCAGUGGCCAAUGUGGACAACCAUGUUGAAAGUAAAAAUGAAUUGGUCCCUUCCCCUACUGAUGUAGUAACAGAUGGAACGACACCUGAUUCCAGAGCCUUGGUUCCCGUACCAGCAAUGAGCGUGGAAGCACUUGCUGUGUUUCCCAUGAACCAGAAAACUAGGCGGUCUGAACUUGUGCAGCGUAGAACUAGGAGACCUUUCUCUGUGUCAGAAGUAGAAGCACUAGUUGAAGCAGUUGAGAAUCUCGGAACUGGAAGGUGGCGUGAUGUUAAAUUGCGUGCUUUUGAGAAUGCAGAUCAUCGAACUUAUGUGGACUUGAAGGAUAAGUGGAAGACAUUGGUUCACACGGCAAGCAUCGCCCCCCAGCAAAGAAGAGGCGAGCCCGUGCCGCAGGAGCUCUUGGACCGAGUCUUGGCUGCCCAUUCUUACUGGUCUCAGCACCAAUCUAAGCAACAUGGCAAGCUUCAAACUGAAACCCUCUAAAGAUUUCAGACUGCUCAGGAGGGAAGCCUUUCAAAGAGGUACCCAAAUGGUUACAGUGUAAAUUAGUUGUGACAGUGAAAUUGAAAAAAUGAAGUGUAAAAAAUUAAUAUGGUCUCAUGUAAUAUUAUGCUUACUUCACAAUGAUUCAUUGCCAGGUGCUGGCUUGUAAAUGAUUUGACAAAAUAAAGGGUAUUCUAACAGAAUCCAUAGCGGUCACUUUGAUUUGAUAGA